UACAUAUGUUCCAACUCAACAUCUCAUACGUCUAGUGUAGAGGCGAGGAGUACUGCAACUGAUUUAGUUCUACUUUCCCUGCUUUUGAAUCUAUGUUCUUUUACAUCUACCGUCUUUGAUUGAAUCUAUGUUCUUUUACAUCUACCAUCUUUGGAUAGACAACGACGUGAAGAGGAGUUGAAAGGAAUGGAAGUUGUCUUCUUAUUUAAUGAAUGUCCAUGGCCAUAAAAUUGCUUGCUAUACCCAUGUGAUGAAAAAUGGUUGAUGUUAUUUCCUCUAAUUGCUUGGCGGGGGUACACAUCUUUUCGUAAGGAUGAAACUGAAUCCUCUGGCAUAUGGCAUUCGAUGGGAUGAGGUAUUGGAUAUGGGCCUCCUUACCCUUGGACAAUGGGAAUUCUUGGUUUCUUGCUGAGAUUUAUGCAAUGCCGA
Molecule: long non-coding RNA, 429 nt
Organism: Salvia splendens (bonfire salvia)
Lineage: Eukaryota; Viridiplantae; Streptophyta; Magnoliopsida; Lamiales; Lamiaceae
Exons: 3
Source: RefSeq, a predicted model, not a curated record